This 459-nucleotide ribosomal RNA is filed under the name uncultured bacterium. Its description in RNAcentral is "partial 16S ribosomal RNA". It matches the Rfam family "Bacterial small subunit ribosomal RNA", at positions 338 to 795 of the family's 1533-position model. The record is from RNAcentral.
CCUACGGGAGGCAGCAGUGAGGAAUAUUUGUCAAUGGGCGAGAGCCUGAACCAGCCAAGUCGCGUGAGGGAAGACGGUCCUACGGAUUGUAAACCUCUUUUGCCGGGGAGCAAAAAGCGGUACGUGUACCGCAACGAGAGGACCCGGAGAAAAAGCAUCCGCCAACCCCGUGCCAGCAGCCGCGGUAAUACGGAGGCUGCGAGCGUUAUCCGGAUUUAUUGGGUUAAAAGGGUGCGCAGGCGGAGUUGCAAGUCAGCGGUCAAAUUGCGGGGCGCAACCCCGUACUGCCGUUGAAACUGUAGCCCUUGAGUGCGCGAGAAGUAUGCGGAAUGCGUGGUGUAGCAGUGAAAUGCAUAGAUAUCACGCAGAACUCCGAUUGCGAAGGCAGCAUACCGGAGCGCAACUGACGCUCAUGCACGAAAGCGUGGGUAUCGAACAGGAUUAGAUACCCGUGUAGUC